AGGCCCAAGCGACUGUUUAUCAAAAACACAGGUCUCUGCUAAACCGUAAGGUGAUGUAUAGGGGCUGACGCCUGCCCGGUGCUGGAAGGUUAAGAGGAGUGGUUAGCUUCUGCGAAGCUACGAAUCGAAGCCCCAGUAAACGGCGGCCGUAACUAUAACGGUCCUAAGGUAGCGAAAUUCCUUGUCGGGUAAGUUCCGACCCGCACGAAAGGCGUAACGAUUUGGGCACUGUCUCAACGAGAG
Molecule: ribosomal RNA, 243 nt
Filed under: Staphylococcus epidermidis
Lineage: Bacteria; Bacillati; Bacillota; Bacilli; Caryophanales; Staphylococcaceae
Description: partial 23S ribosomal RNA
Rfam family: Bacterial large subunit ribosomal RNA
Source: RNAcentral